AGCACAUCCUUUGUACUCAUUUAGAAACGUAACUCUGAAUUUCUCUGUCUCUGCAAAGGGGUAAUUCCUGGGUGUUCUUCAGUGGUGAGUGAAGGCAUUUUUGCACAUGCUAUCGGAUGAACUGAGUCUAGAAUUUUGGUGAGAAUAGACCACUGGUUCCUUGGGUGAGAAUGAAGACUUGCAAAGAGCCUGAUGGUGAGGAUAAGAUUGCUUUGUGAGAAGUUUAUACAUCAGAGCAGUGGGAACAGAGCAGACAUAUUUGAUACCGAAAAAAGUGAACCCCAGGAGAGGGCUCCAAGCUUCAGCUCUUGUCUGAGACUGUCCUGCACUGUGGCUGUAUGAUUACCAUAGCCCUUGACUUCUGAAUGGCAAAUGGCACCUGAAAGAGAAAUCACUAAGUCACAGGGUCGGCUCCAUCCUACUCCUCUAUACUAUACAGAUGUCAGUCACCUUUUGUCCGUGACCUUGUGCCUCAGAUGGAGCUUUAAACGUCGUUGACUUUCUGCUUGCUUCUCUGCUUACUGAGAGAAUGUUGACUCUUCAGCCUUCUGCAGUGUUUGCCCCAAAACUGAUUGCUGGAUUCCUCACCUGUGGUGACCUUCCUGCUUCCUGCUUCCUGCUUCCUGCUUCCUGCUUCCUGCUUCCUGCUUCCUGCUUCCUGCUUCCUGCUUCAGACUGCAGAUAAAGCCACAAUGUAAGGUUCCAGGUGGCCACACUUAUUUGGAGACACCAUUUAACACGGUUCUGCUUCUACUUCCAUGAGAACCUAGUGAAGAAGACACAGCCAGAGCUUUGAUCAAAGAUUCCAAAUGCAAAUACAACUAACCACCCAACUGGUCCCAUCAGCCAAUGUAUCUCUUUGUUACCUCAAGGGAGAUUGAUUUACGCUUUCAUCAAUAAAUCUUCAUAUUUUCAA
Molecule: long non-coding RNA, 916 nt
Filed under: Mus musculus (house mouse)
Lineage: Eukaryota; Metazoa; Chordata; Mammalia; Rodentia; Muridae
Description: RIKEN cDNA 1700023F02 gene, transcript variant 9 (1700023F02Rik)
Source: RNAcentral